AUUGAACGCUGGCGGCAUGCCUUACACAUGCCAGUCGAACGGCAGCACGGGUGCUUGCCCCUGGUGGCGAGUGGCGAACGGGUGAGUAAUACAUCGGAACAUGUCCUGUAGUGGGGGAUAGCCCGGCGAAAGCCGGAUUAAUACCGCAUACGAUCCACGGAUGAAAGCGGGGGACCUUCGGGCCUCGCGCUAUAGGGUUGGCCGAUGGCUGAUUAGCUAGUUGGUGGGGUAAAGGCCUACCAAGGCCACGAUCAGUAGCUGGUCUGAGAGGACGACCAGCCACACUGGGACUGAGACACGGCCCAGACUCCUACGGGAGGCAGCAGUGGGGAAUUUUGGACAAUGGGCGAAAGCCUGAUCCAGCAAUGCCGCGUGUGUGAAGAAGGCCUUCGGGUUGUAAAGCACUUUUGUCCGGAAAGAAAUCCUUGACUCUAAUACAGUCGGGGGAUGACGGUACCGGAAGAAUAAGCACCGGCUAACUACGUG
Molecule: ribosomal RNA, 486 nt
Filed under: uncultured bacterium
Lineage: Bacteria
Description: partial 16S ribosomal RNA
Rfam family: Bacterial small subunit ribosomal RNA
Source: RNAcentral